RNAcentral lists this ribosomal RNA (650 nucleotides) under Marinococcus sp. SCULCB HNA-18. RNAcentral describes it as "bacterial SSU rRNA". It matches the Rfam family "Bacterial small subunit ribosomal RNA", at positions 37 to 649 of the family's 1533-position model. The record is from RNAcentral. Lineage: Bacteria; Bacillati; Bacillota; Bacilli; Caryophanales; Bacillaceae.
UGGCGGCGUGCCUAAUACAUGCAAGUCGAGCGCGGGAAGCCGGCGGACUCCUUCGGGAGGAAACCGGUGGAACGAGCGGCGGACGGGUGAGUAACACGUGGGCAACCUGCCGGACUGAUGGGAAUAACCCCGGGAAACCGGGGCUAAUGCCCAAUACGCCCUGACCUCGCCUGAGGUCAGCGGUAAAGCAGGGAUCUUCGGAUCCUUGCACAGUCCGAUGGGCCCGCGGCGCAUUAGCUAGUUGGAGAGGUAAGGGCUCCCCAAGGCGACGAUGCGUAGCCGACCUGAGAGGGUGAUCGGCCACACUGGGACUGAGACACGGCCCAGACUCCUACGGGAGGCAGCAGUAGGGAAUCAUCCGCAAUGGGCGAAAGCCUGACGGUGCAACGCCGCGUGAGUGAUGAAGGUUUUCGGAUCGUAAAGCUCUGUUGACAGGGAAGAACCCACGCCAGUCGAACAGGCUGGCGUGCUGACGGUACCUGUCCAGAAAGCCCCGGCUAACUACGUGCCAGCAGCCGCGGUAAUACGUAGGGGGCAAGCGUUGUCCGGAAUUAUUGGGCGUAAAGGGCACGCAGGCGGUUUCGUCAGUCCGAUGUGACAGGCCACGGCUCAACCGUGGAAGGCCAUUGGAAACUGCGAAACUUGAGUAC